UGGCGCGUAGCUCAGCGGCAAGAGCGGGCCUCUUAUAAGGGCCGGGGCGAGGGUUCGACUCCCUCCGCGCCGA
This 73-nucleotide transfer RNA is filed under the name Planctomycetota bacterium. RNAcentral's name for it is "Planctomycetes bacterium (sediment metagenome) tRNA-Ile". It matches the Rfam family "tRNA". From Rfam's summary of the family: Transfer RNA (tRNA) molecules are approximately 80 nucleotides in length. The record is from RNAcentral. Lineage: Bacteria; Pseudomonadati; Planctomycetota.